Erpetoichthys calabaricus (reedfish) is the source of this 926-nucleotide long non-coding RNA. RefSeq lists it as uncharacterized. Lineage: Eukaryota; Metazoa; Chordata; Cladistia; Polypteriformes; Polypteridae. The transcript has 3 exons. The record is from RefSeq and is a predicted model, not a curated record.
GGAAACUGCAGAGAGCCAGCAGCUGGACCACUGUGGAGCUGUGAGGAGAGACCACCGCAGCCCUGAGCGGCUCCUGACAAACAAAUAUAAUGAAGACAUCUGAGAUUUGAUGAACUCAUUAGUGAGUAAGAACUGAAAUGAACAAACAAACAUCCUGAGAGAAUUUGUGAAGCACACACAGCAGAGAGACGCCUCAUGUGAAUUACGUCAGCUGAGAGAAUAUGGCAGUCGCAGGGCCUCAGUGUAUAAACAUCUCAGUGUGCAGGCAGGACGGCUCUUCUCACGAUGGCAGCACUCCAGUGACAGACAUGGAGCGGAAUGGACUCAAAAUUGGUCUUUGCUUUCCUCACAGUAAUGCAUCUUGUCGUAAACUGAUUUAUGACACUGAAGUUUAUGGACUUUAUUACACUUUCUCGUGUCUUUUGCUUUUAUUGACAGUCUUUGGAAAUCUUCUUGUCAUCAUUUCUAUUUCUCAUUUUGUUCAGCUGCACACGCCGACUAAUCUUCUGAUCCUUUCACUCGCAGCAGCCGAUUUCUUAACAGAAUAUUUGUAGUUGCAAGAAGCCAUUCAAAAGCCAUCAACUGUAUGAUAGAAAAGAGACAAACUGAGGAGUUGAGUGACAGUAAAAUAUCAAAACCGUCUGAAAGAAAAGCCGCAAAAACAUUAGGAGUAGUCGUGGGGGCUUUUAUUAUCUGCUGGCUGCCUCUUUAUGUGUACAAUCUUUUUAAUGAUGGUAGUAACCUAAUCACACGUAUCAUCAGGAAUGUCUUGGUGUUGGUCAGUGAAGUGAACUAUGGAGUUAAUCCAAUUCUUUACGCUUUUCUUUAUUCCUGGUUCAGAAAAGCACUGAAAAUCAUCCUGAGUUGUAAAAUAUUUAGUCCAGCUUCUUCUGUGAUCAGUUUACUGUAAAUGGUAAAGAAAAUAA